RNAcentral lists this ribosomal RNA (514 nucleotides) under Bacillus licheniformis. Its description in RNAcentral is "bacterial SSU rRNA". It matches the Rfam family "Bacterial small subunit ribosomal RNA", at positions 28 to 525 of the family's 1533-position model. Lineage: Bacteria; Bacillati; Bacillota; Bacilli; Caryophanales; Bacillaceae. The record is from RNAcentral.
UGCCGACAGCUGGCGGCGUGCCUAAUACAUGCAAGUCGAGCGGAUCUGAGGGAGCUUGUCCCAAAGAUUAGCGGCGGACGGGUGAGUAACACGUGGGUAACCUGCCUGUAAGAUUGGGAUAACUCCGGGAAACCGGAGCUAAUACCGGAUAACAAUUUGAACCGCAUGGUUCAAAUUUGAAAGACGGCUUUGGCUGUCACUUACAGAUGGACCCGCGGCGCAUUAGCUAGUUGGUGAGGUAACGGCUCACCAAGGCAACGAUGCGUAGCCGACCUGAGAGGGUGAUCGGCCACACUGGGACUGAGACACGGCCCAGACUCCUACGGGAGGCAGCAGUAGGGAAUCUUCCGCAAUGGACGAAAGUCUGACGGAGCAACGCCGCGUGAACGAUGAAGGCCUUCGGGUCGUAAAGUUCUGUUGUUAGGGAAGAACAAGUACCAGAGUAACUGCUGGUACCUUGACGGUACCUAACCAGAAAGCCACGGCUAACUACGUGCCAGCAGCCGGGUAAAUA